RNAcentral lists this unclassified non-coding RNA (662 nucleotides) under Hevea brasiliensis (rubber tree). Lineage: Eukaryota; Viridiplantae; Streptophyta; Magnoliopsida; Malpighiales; Euphorbiaceae. The record is from RNAcentral.
UGAAAAUUCUAGAUAAGUUCAACUCCAUAAGAUCCUUCAUUCUUUGUUUAUUUCUCCUUGAAUGUUCAAUAUCUAGAGUCCUGUAGGCAAGACCAAGCAAGUACAUUGCUGGAUGUAAUCUCUUCUCAAAGUGAUCAUUUGCCUCCAAGCCAUCCCAAUACCUCUGAGAUGGCACAUUUCGGCCUUUCUUAUCUCUGCCAAACGUCUCCACAUACCAACCUCCAAUGUCAUGCAUGCCACAUCGAGGUUCAAAUAGCCAGAAUUUGCUCGGAGGUAGCUUAGCUUUGCUGCAUCUGCACUCACAGGUUAAUACUUCAUCUCCUAAUUGAUACCAGUGCAUGUGUCUUACCAGCAAUGUUCGAUGCUUCAUAAUCUCAUGGGUUUUCACACCGUUGUUGUCGUAAACAUCGCAAGAACCUUCUUCAGGACUGGUCCCCAACCCUUUUAUCAUUCCCAGUGGAAUGACAGACUUCCAUCCGAAGUCCAUUAGGUUACUUUUGGGGACGUCAUGUGAGCUGAGGUAAACAUGAAUGCAGUCAUCAAUACCUUCAUUCUGUAUCCCAUUAUAUCUACUCCUAGGUGGAACUCUUGUUGCCAUAGCAACAAGCCUCCCUCCAACAUGCAAUUCUAAGUCUCUGUAUGCAUCUGAUGUAUAGUACUUG